This is a long non-coding RNA of Pleuronectes platessa (European plaice), 418 nucleotides long. RefSeq lists it as uncharacterized. The transcript has 3 exons. Lineage: Eukaryota; Metazoa; Chordata; Actinopteri; Pleuronectiformes; Pleuronectidae. The record is from RefSeq and is a predicted model, not a curated record.
AGAGAGCUGCAGGGUGGAGGAGAGCGCGGACAGAGGGUUGGAGACUCUGACAUCUGUAGAAAAUGAAAAAGAAAAGGAGCCAUCGUCCAAUACGCUGACAUGAUGUGAACUUUGACCUUUAGCCGUCGUUUCCAGGAACUCUACAGAGACAAAAAAGAGGUCCGGUCCUGCCAGACUAGGAAUCCCUGAAAAUCACAGAAAAACACAGUAUCAGCUGACCUGUGGGUUGGUCGGGACAUCCAGCCAAGUUUCCAGAAACCUCCACAACAAAAGUUCCCCCAGCCUGAACUCUGUCUGCCGGAGACGACACAUUAACUCUGUGAAGAAACGGUCCCUCAGUCCUGUAGAGAGCCACAGUCGCCCGUCCUCCUCCAACAGGCAAAGUCAGAGCACUAGGAGAAAAGAAAUAUCCAGAACA